UGUGUAGGCGGUUCCCUAAGUUUGGUGUGAAAUCUCCCGGCUCAACCGGGAGGGUGCGCCGAAAACUGGGGGGCUAGAGUGCGGGAUGGGAGAGUGGAAUUCCUGGUGUAGCGGUGAAAUGCGUAGAUAUCAGGAGGAACACCGGUGGUGUAGACGGCUCUCUGGACCGUAACUGACGCUGAGACACGAAAGCGUGGGUAGCAAACA
Molecule: ribosomal RNA, 207 nt
Filed under: uncultured bacterium
Lineage: Bacteria
Description: partial 16S ribosomal RNA
Rfam family: Bacterial small subunit ribosomal RNA
Source: RNAcentral